This 68-nucleotide transfer RNA is filed under the name Runaria sp. 'striata'. RNAcentral describes it as "tRNA-Lys". Lineage: Eukaryota; Metazoa; Arthropoda; Insecta; Hymenoptera; Blasticotomidae. The record is from RNAcentral.
CAUUAAGUAACUAAUAAUAGUAUUGGUCUCUUAAACCAAAUAAUGGUAUAAUUAAAUACCCUUAAUGA